This 1452-nucleotide ribosomal RNA is filed under the name uncultured bacterium. Its description in RNAcentral is "16S ribosomal RNA". It matches the Rfam family "Bacterial small subunit ribosomal RNA". The record is from RNAcentral.
GAUGAACGCUAGCUACAGGCCUAACACAUGCAAGUCGAGGGGCAGCAUUAUUUGUAGCAAUACAGAUAGAUGGCGACCGGCGCACGGGUGAGUAACGCGUAUCCUACCUUCCCCUGUCUCGGGUAUAGCCUUCCGAAAGGGAGAUUAAUCCCCGAUGGCGUCAAGAGGCCGCAUGGCAUCCUGACUAAAGCGUAAGCGGACAGGGCUGGGGGUGCGUCCCAUUAGGUAGUUGGCGGGGUAACGGCCCACCAAGCCAACGAUGGGUAGGGGUUCUGAGAGGAAGGCCCCCCACAUUGGAACUGAGACACGGUCCAAACUCCUACGGGAGGCAGCAGUGAGGAAUAUUGGUCAAUGGCCGAGAGGCUGAACCAGCCAAGUAGCGUGGAGGAUGACUGCCCUACGGGUUGUAAACUCCUUUUAUAAGGGGGUAAAGGCGUCUACGUGUAGAUGUUUGCAAGUACCUUAUGAAUAAGCAUCGGCUAACUCCGUGCCAGCAGCCGCGGUAAUACGGAGGAUGCGAGCGUUAUCCGGAUUCAUUGGGUUUAAGGGUGCGUAGGUGGCCCGUUAAGUCAGCGGUGAAACCCUGUCGCUCAACGAUAGGCGUGCCGUUGAAACUGGUGGGCUUGAGUGUGUAUGGGGCGGGCGGAACGCGUGGUGUAGCGGUGAAAUGCAUAGAUAUCACGCGGAACCCCGAUCGCGAAGGCAGCCCGCCAAUCCACUACUGACACUGAGGCACGAGAGCGUGGGGAUCGAACAGGAUUAGAUACCCUGGUAGUCCACGCCGUAAACGAUGAUCACCAGGGGUUUGCGAUAGAGUGUAAGCCCCCGAGCGAAAGCGUUAAGUGAUCCACCUGGGGAGUACGCCGGCAACGGUGAAACUCAAAGGAAUUGACGGGGGCCCGCACAAGCGGAGGAACAUGUGGUUUAAUUCGAUGAUACGCGAGGAACCUUACCCGGGCUUGAACUGCAGCGGAAUGGUUUGGAAACAGAUCAGCGAGCAAUCGCCGCUGUGGAGGUGCUGCAUGGUUGUCGUCAGCUCGUGCCGUGAGGUGUCGGCUUAAGUGCCAUAACGAGCGCAACCCUUACCGAUAGUUGCCAUCAGGUAACGCUGGGGACUCUAUCGGGACUGCCGUCGUAAGAUGUGAGGAAGGUGGGGAUGACGUCAAAUCAGCACGGCCCUUACGUCCGGGGCUACACACGUGUUACAAUGGGGGGUACAGCAGGCCGCUACCAGGCGACUGGAUGCCAAUCCCUAAAACCCCUCUCAGUUCGGACUGGAGUCUGCAACCCGACUCCACGAAGCUGGAUUCGCUAGUAAUCGCGCAUCAGCCACGGCGCGGUGAAUACGUUCCCGGGCCUUGUACACACCGCCCGUCAAGCCAUGAAAGCCGGGGGUACCUGAAGUGCGUAACCGCAAGGAGCGCCCUAGGGUAAAACUGGUGAUUGGGGCUA